GCAAGUCGAGCGCGCCCUUCGGGGUGAGCGGCGGACGGGUGAGUAACGCGUGGGAACAUACCCUUUUCUACGGAAUAGCCUCGGGAAACUGAGAGUAAUACCGUAUACGGCCUUCGGGCGAAAGAUUUAUCGGUGAAGGAUUGGCCCGCGUUAGAUUAGGUAGUUGGUGGGGUAAUGGCCUACCAAGCCGACGAUCCAUAGCUGGUUUGAGAGGAUGAUC
Molecule: ribosomal RNA, 220 nt
Filed under: uncultured bacterium
Lineage: Bacteria
Description: partial 16S ribosomal RNA
Rfam family: Bacterial small subunit ribosomal RNA
Source: RNAcentral